GCUCAGAUUGAACGCUGGCGGCAUGCUUUACACAUGCAAGUCGAACGGCAGCACGAAAGAGCUUGCUCUUUUGGUGGCGAGUGGCGAACGGGUGAGUAAUACAUUGGAACGUACCGAGUAAUGGGGGAUAACUGUCCGAAAGGAUGGCUAAUACCGCAUACGCUCUGAGGAGGAAAGCGGGGGACCUUCGGGCCUCGCGUUAUUCGAGCGGCCAAUGUCUGAUUAGCUAGUUGGUGGGGUAAAGGCCUACCAAGGCGACGAUCAGUAGUGGGUCUGAGAGGAUGAUCCGCCACACUGGGACUGAGACACGGCCCAGACUCCUACGGGAGGCAGCAGUGGGGAAUUUUGGACAAUGGGCGAAAGCCUGAUCCAGCCAUGCCGCGUGUCUGAAGAAGGCCUUCGGGUUGUAAAGGACUUUUGUCAGG
RNAcentral lists this ribosomal RNA (425 nucleotides) under Neisseria arctica. RNAcentral describes it as "bacterial SSU rRNA". It matches the Rfam family "Bacterial small subunit ribosomal RNA", at positions 22 to 443 of the family's 1533-position model. Lineage: Bacteria; Pseudomonadati; Pseudomonadota; Betaproteobacteria; Neisseriales; Neisseriaceae. The record is from RNAcentral.